AUUCCAGCUCCAAUAGCGUAUACUAAAGUUGUUGCAGUUAAAAAGCUCGUAGUUGAAUUUCUGGUCUCGGGCUUCGGUCUGCCUCAAACGAGGUACGUACCUGUUGUCUGAAUCCAUCCUCGGGGAGAACGUUUUGGUCAUUAAGUUGACUGGAUCGGGAUCCUCGUCAUUUACUGUGAGCAAAAUAGAGUGUUCAAAGCAGGCUUAUGCCGUUGAAUACAUUAGCAUGGAAUAAUAAGAUAAGACCUUGGUCUAUUUUGUUGGUUUGUACUCCAAGGUAAUGAUUAAUAGGGAUAGUUGGGGGUAUUCGUAUUCAAUUGUCAGAGGUGAAAUUCUUGGAUUUAUGGAAGACGAACUACUGCGAAAGCAUUUACCAAGGAUGUUUUCAUCA
Molecule: ribosomal RNA, 391 nt
Filed under: Chrysophyceae sp.
Lineage: Eukaryota; Chrysophyceae
Description: partial small subunit ribosomal RNA
Rfam family: Eukaryotic small subunit ribosomal RNA
Source: RNAcentral